This 497-nucleotide ribosomal RNA is filed under the name uncultured bacterium. Its description in RNAcentral is "partial 16S ribosomal RNA". It matches the Rfam family "Bacterial small subunit ribosomal RNA", at positions 28 to 507 of the family's 1533-position model. The record is from RNAcentral.
GAUGAACGCUGGCGGCGUGCCUAAUACAUGCAAGUCGAGCGAACAGACGAGGAGCUUGCUCCUCUGACGUUAGCGGCGGACGGGUGAGUAACACGUGGAUAACCUACCUAUAAGACUGGGAUAACUUCGGGAAACCGGGGCUAAUACCGGAUAAUAUAUUGAACCGCAUGGUUCAAUAGUGAAAGACGGUUUUGCUGUCACUUAUAGAUUGAUCCGCGCCGCAUUAGCUAGUUGUUAAUGUAACGGCUUACCAAGGCGACGAUGCGUAGCCGACCUGAGAGGGUGAUCGGCCACACUGGAACUGAGACACGGUCCAGACUCCUACGGGAGGCAGCAGUAGGGAAUCUUCCGCAAAGGGCGAAAGCAUGACGGAGCAACGCCGCGUGAGUGAUGAAGGUCUUCGGAUCGUAAAACUCUGUUAUUAGGGAAGAACAAAUGUGUAAGUAACUAUGCACGUCUUGACGGUACCUAAUCAGAAAGCCACGGCUAACUACGUG